This 77-nucleotide transfer RNA is filed under the name Caldithrix sp. RNAcentral describes it as "tRNA-Met". It matches the Rfam family "tRNA". From Rfam's summary of the family: Transfer RNA (tRNA) molecules are approximately 80 nucleotides in length. Their secondary structure includes four short double-helical elements and three loops (D, anti-codon, and T loops). The record is from RNAcentral. Lineage: Bacteria; Pseudomonadati; Calditrichota; Calditrichia; Calditrichales; Calditrichaceae.
CGCGGGGUGGAGCAGUCUGGUAGCUCGUUGGGCUCAUAACCCAAAGGUCGUGGGUUCGAAUCCCUCCCCCGCUACUA